This 468-nucleotide ribosomal RNA is filed under the name uncultured bacterium. RNAcentral describes it as "partial 16S ribosomal RNA". It matches the Rfam family "Bacterial small subunit ribosomal RNA", at positions 28 to 507 of the family's 1533-position model. The record is from RNAcentral.
GACGAACGCUGGCGGCGUGCUUAACACAUGCAAGUCGAACGGAAAGGCCCUGCUUUUGUGGGGUGCUCGAGUGGCGAACGGGUGAGUAACACGUGAGUAACCUGCCCUUGACUUUGGGGUAACUUCAGGAAACUGGGGCUAAUACCGGAUAGGAGCUCCUGCUGCAUGGUGGGGGUUGGAAAGUUUCGGCGGUUGGGGAUGGACUCGCGGCUUAUCAGCUUGUUGGUGGGGUAGUGGCUUACCAAGGCUUUGACGGGUAGCCGGCCUGAGAGGGUGGCCGGCCACCAUGGGACUGCGAUACGGCCCAGACUCCUACGGGCGGCAGCAGUGGGGAAUAUUGCACAAUGGGCGGAAGUCUGAUGCAGCAACGCCGCGUGCGGGAUGACGGCUUUCGGGUUGUAAACCGCUUUCGCCUGUGACGAAGCGUGAGUGACGGUAAUGGGUAAAGAAGCACCGGCUAACUACGUG